RNAcentral lists this ribosomal RNA (117 nucleotides) under Partenskyella glossopodia. RNAcentral's name for it is "partial Eukaryotic large subunit ribosomal RNA". The record is from RNAcentral. Lineage: Eukaryota; Cercozoa; Chlorarachniophyceae.
AAGAGGUGUAGAAUAAGUGGGAGCUUCGGCGUCUUGAAAUACCACUACUCUUGGAUACCCUCUGGGCAACCAAAAAAUCGAACACUGUUUUUUUGUAUUUGGAACAUACAUUUUUGA